CCUACGGGAGGCAGCAGUAGGGAAUCUUGCGCAAUGGACGAAAGUCUGAUGGAGCAACGCCGCGUGAGUGAAGAAGGUUUUCGGCUCGUAAAGCUCUGUUGGUAGUGAAGAAAGAUAGCUGUAGUAACUAGCCUUUAUUUGACGGUACUUACUUAGAAAGUACCGGCUAACUCCGUGCCAGCAGCCGCGGUAAUACGUAGGUGGCAAGCGUUGUCCGGAUUUAUUGGGCGUAAAGCGAGUGCAGGCGGUUCAAUAAGUCUGAGGUGAAAGCCCUCGGCUCAACCGGAGAAUUGCAUCAGAAACUGUUGAACUGGAGUGCAUAAGAGGAGAGUGGAACUCCAUGUGUAGUGGUGGAAUGCGUAGAUAUAUGGAAGAACACCAGUGGCGAAGGCGGCUCUCUGGUCUGCAACUGACGCUGAGGCUCGAAAGCAUGGGUAGCGAACAGGAUUAGAUACCCGAGUAGUC
This 465-nucleotide ribosomal RNA is filed under the name uncultured bacterium. Its description in RNAcentral is "partial 16S ribosomal RNA". It matches the Rfam family "Bacterial small subunit ribosomal RNA", at positions 338 to 795 of the family's 1533-position model. The record is from RNAcentral.